This 90-nucleotide transfer RNA is filed under the name Desulfosporosinus sp. Its description in RNAcentral is "tRNA-Ser". It matches the Rfam family "tRNA". From Rfam's summary of the family: Transfer RNA (tRNA) molecules are approximately 80 nucleotides in length. Their secondary structure includes four short double-helical elements and three loops (D, anti-codon, and T loops). RNAcentral also lists the same sequence under 2 other names. Lineage: Bacteria; Bacillati; Bacillota; Clostridia; Eubacteriales; Desulfitobacteriaceae. The record is from RNAcentral.
GGAGGGGUGUUCGAGCGGUUUAAGGACCCGGUCUUGAAAACCGGUGACUUCGCAAGGGGUCCGUGGGUUCGAAUCCCACCCCCUCCGCCA